This 253-nucleotide ribosomal RNA is filed under the name uncultured bacterium. Its description in RNAcentral is "partial 16S ribosomal RNA". It matches the Rfam family "Bacterial small subunit ribosomal RNA", at positions 524 to 776 of the family's 1533-position model. The record is from RNAcentral.
UACGUAGGUGGCAAGCGUUGUCCGGAAUUAUUGGGCGUAAAGCGCGCGCAGGCGGCCUCUUAAGUCUGAUGUGAAAGCCCCCGGCUCAGCCGGGGAGGGCCAUUGGAAACUGGGAGGCUUGAGUAUAGGAGAGAAGAGUGGAAUUCCACGUGUAGCGGUGAAAUGCGUAGAGAUGUGGAGGAACACCAGUGGCGAAGGCGACUCUUUGGCCUAUAACUGACGCUGAGGCGCGAAAGCGUGGGGAGCAAACAGG